CUCAGCUUGACGGAGCGCGAGUAAACCUCGCUGAGAUUGUACCAACUCAACAGAAUUGCUGAGUUUAAGUCCAAGUACCGUUGAACCUGAUCAGGUUAAUACCUGCGUAGGAAUCAAGCCCACUAAAAAC
Molecule: non-coding RNA, 130 nt
Filed under: Acinetobacter rudis CIP 110305
Lineage: Bacteria; Pseudomonadati; Pseudomonadota; Gammaproteobacteria; Moraxellales; Moraxellaceae
Also listed under: 1 other name
Description: Acinetobacter sp. G30 TPP riboswitch aptamer (THI element)
Rfam family: TPP riboswitch aptamer (THI element)
About the family: Vitamin B(1) in its active form thiamin pyrophosphate (TPP) is an essential coenzyme that is synthesised by coupling of pyrimidine and thiazole moieties in bacteria.
Source: Rfam by way of RNAcentral